Molecule: ribosomal RNA, 490 nt
Filed under: Nosema granulosis
Lineage: Eukaryota; Fungi; Microsporidia; Nosematidae
Description: SSU rRNA
Rfam family: Microsporidia small subunit ribosomal RNA
Source: RNAcentral
GACGAACAGCUCAGUAACUCUUAUUUUAUUUGAUGUAUUAGGAUUAUAACUAUGUUAAAUUAUAGAUAACAAUAAUACAAUAAGAAUAAGAUCUAUCAGUUAGUUGUUAAGGUAAUGGCUUAACAAGACUAUGACGGAUAACGGUAUUACUUUGUAAUAUUCCGGAGAAGGAGCCUGAGAGAUUGCUACUAAGUCUAAGGAUUGCAGCAGGGGCGAAACUUGACCUAUGAUAUGAUAUUGAGGCAGUUAUGAGUAGUAUUUUUAAUUAUUGUAGUAUUGUAAGUAUAUACUACAAGAUAAAUCGGAGGGCAAAUCGAGUGCCAGCAGCCGCGGUAAUACUUGUUCCGAUAGUGUGUAUGAUGAUUGAUGCAGUUAAAAAGUCUGUAGUUUAUGAUUAAUAAGCAUUGUGAGGUAUAUUGUAUGGUUAGGAGAGAGAUGAAAUGUGAUAACCCUAACUGGAUGAACAGAAGCGAAAGCUAUAUACUUAAAU